RNAcentral lists this long non-coding RNA (617 nucleotides) under Homo sapiens (human). Its description in RNAcentral is "HSALNT0390710". The record is from RNAcentral. Lineage: Eukaryota; Metazoa; Chordata; Mammalia; Primates; Hominidae.
UGUUAAGGAGGCUUGCAUAGAAAAAAAGGAAACCAAAAUAUUUAAGGACUGGUUUUAGCAUUAAUUACAUAAUUUAUAAAUUAUCUUACAUAGUUAUGAAUUCUGAACAAUUCUGAAGGGCCUAAUCCACUUAGCCCUUAACUCUGCUAACAUGCAGGUCUACUUAUCUAUAAAGAGAGGCAACAAUUUGAACAUUGCUAUGGACAUCUGUAGACAUCUUUCAGUGGGAAGCUGAAAAAUUUUCACUAUAGGAAGACAUUACCAUUUCUGGCAAUGGUCAGAUCACCAGAUUCCAGGGGGAGGUCAGGUCCAUGCUCUUUCUACUGCAUCCUGCUGACAAGAAGGGAAAGUGUGGGAACUGAUGGAGGUUCAGCAGGCUCUGUUGUCAGCCCAACAAAAGCACCAAAGAAGUUUCCUGGCUGACAUUUUACUACAUCAUCACGUACGGCGAACUGGAUUGUGAAUGCCCUUAGAUGCCAUUGGAAGGGAUUUAGAUUUCACUUUCUAAGUAGGCAAUGCGAGUCCAUUCAGAGAUUGUGAAGUGGAAGAAUAUCAUGAUCAGAUCUGUGUGGCUGAUGAAUAGAGACAAAUCUGAUGUCUGGGGUUAUAUUAUUGAG